AACAUCGCCCUUUGAAAAAAUAAUUAUAAAGGGUACUGCCUGCCCAGUGAUAAAAAUUAAACGGCCGCGGUACUUUGACCGUGCAAAGGUAGCAUAAUCAUUUGUUCUUUAAUUGAGGACUAGUAUGAAAGGCAAAACGAAAGCUUAACUGUCUCCUUUUUAAAAAAUAAAAUUAAUAUUUUCGUGAAGAAGCAAAAAUAAUAAAGUAAGACGAGAAGACCCUGUCGAGCUUAAGAAAAUUUCUAUAAUAAAAUUUUUUAAAGAUAAACAAAUUUUACUACAAAAAUAAAAUAAAAAUAUCUUUGGUUGGGGCAACCACGAAGAAAAAAAAACCUUCGUUCAAAAAAAGAAAUUUACAAAUUUAAAAAUUAUUUAAAAUUCAAAAGAUCCAGAAAAUUCUGAUCAUAGAAAAAAGUUACCGCAGGGAUAACAGCGUUAUUCUCUUUAAGAGCUCUUAUUGACAAGAGAGUUUGCGACCUCGAUGUUGGACCGGGGCACCCAAGAGGUGUAGAAGCCUCUAAAGGUAGGUCUGUUCGACCUUUAAAGCCCUACGUGAU
RNAcentral lists this ribosomal RNA (557 nucleotides) under Dichrometra brachypecha. RNAcentral's name for it is "partial large subunit ribosomal RNA". It matches the Rfam family "Bacterial large subunit ribosomal RNA", at positions 1812 to 2604 of the family's 2925-position model. The record is from RNAcentral. Lineage: Eukaryota; Metazoa; Echinodermata; Crinoidea; Comatulida; Mariametridae.